CCCCGGGAAGAGGAUUUCAAGCCUGUCAUCUUCAACUCAUAGCAGCCUUGGAGGAGUGGGUUCCUCCGCUAUAUUAUGCUCUUGAAAGAAGACGCUGCUACUCAGACUGUCCCACUGAACAUCUGAAAAGGGGGUUUGUCACGUAAAUCUGCAGUACUUGGACCUGGGGGCCAACUUGCUGGGCUUUUCUUAUUUUGUUAUUUCUGGCUGACAAGCCUUCUCUUUUGGGGGUGAAUUAAGUUGUGCUCACACUCAACCCUAGUCCAGAUGCACAUUUUAGAAAUACACUAUACCCCCUUCCUUUAUUUGUAACU
Molecule: long non-coding RNA, 314 nt
Filed under: Pan troglodytes (chimpanzee)
Lineage: Eukaryota; Metazoa; Chordata; Mammalia; Primates; Hominidae
Description: long non-coding RNA NONPTRT015963
Source: RNAcentral